RNAcentral lists this ribosomal RNA (497 nucleotides) under uncultured bacterium. Its description in RNAcentral is "partial 16S ribosomal RNA". It matches the Rfam family "Bacterial small subunit ribosomal RNA", at positions 28 to 507 of the family's 1533-position model. The record is from RNAcentral.
GAUGAACGCUGGCGGCGUGCCUAAUACAUGCAAGUCGAGCGAACGGACGAGAAGCUUGCUUCUCUGAUGUUAGCGGCGGACGGGUGAGUAACACGUGGAUAACCUACCUAUAAGACUGGGAUAACUUCGGGAAACCGGAGCUAAUACCGGAUGAUAUUUUGAACCGCAUGGUUCAAAAGUGAAAGACGGUCUUGCUGUCACUUAUAGAUGGAUCCGCGCUGCAUUAGCUAGUUGGUAAGGUAACGGCUUACCAAGGCAACGAUGCAUAGCCGACCUGAGAGGGUGAUCGGCCACACUGGAACUGAGACGCGGUCCAGACUCCUACGGGAGGCAGCAGUAGGGAAUCUUCCGCGAUGGGCGAAAGCCUGACGGAGCAACGCCGCGUGAGUGAUGAAGGUCUUCGGAUCGUAAAACUCUGUUAUUAGGGAAGAACAUAUGUGUAAGUAACUGUGCACAUCUUGACGGUACCUAAUCAGAAAGCCACGGCUAACUACGUG